CACGUAGGGAGCAAGCGUUAUCCGGAAUUAUUGGGUGUAAAGGGUGCGUAGACGGGGAUACGAGUUGGUUGUGAAAUCCCUCGGCUUAACUGAGGAACUGCAACCAAAACUAUAUUUCUUGAGUGCAGGAGAGGAAAGCGGAAUUCCUAGUGUAGCGGUGAAAUGCGUAGAUGUUAGGAGGAACACCAGUGGCGAAGGCGGCUUUCUGGACUGUAACUGACGUUGAAGCACGAAAGUGUGGGGAGCAAAC
Molecule: ribosomal RNA, 250 nt
Filed under: uncultured prokaryote
Description: partial 16S ribosomal RNA
Rfam family: Bacterial small subunit ribosomal RNA
Source: RNAcentral